UCUAUAUGGCCGGAACAUCAUAGCAUAUCGUUCGACUUCAAACAUCUUAAAUUCUUUGAAAUGGAAAUUGCUUUUGGAUCGAAAUGGGAAAUGAAAAUCAUUGGAUUUGUUCUUGGGAAUACAUCUUUGCUUGAGGUUUCUAAUUUUAAAUGGGCUUCUCGUUCUACACUGAGUAUUGAAGAGAAGACAGAUAUUAUGAACAAGUUGAUGUCAGUAAAAAAAGCUUCCACAUCUGUGGAAGUAAAGUUUGCAGAGAUCAUUCUGAAAUGAAGUGUCUACCUGUUAAUGAAUUUUUUCCUGUAGUUUGAAGCCAUUCCUUAUGAAUCAUCUUUAAAAGAGAUCAAAUUCAACUCUUUGAAAAAAACUUGAACUUUAUGUGAAAAUCUGGGUUGUUCUCAAGAAUGUGCGAUACUUUGCUGCAUCUUAAAAAACUCUUCAUCAUUGCUACAUCUUAGUAUAAUAACAAUCGUUGUAAGUUCUUGAUGUGAAUCUGGAUUGUUCUCAAGAAUGUGUGAAACUUUGAUGCAUCCUAAAAAACUCUAUCAAUGCUACAUCUUAGUAUAAUAACAAUCUUUGAAAGUUUUAAUGUUUAUUUUUCAUUCGUUUGGGUCGGGUAUUGGCCUUAGUCGGAGAUCCUAUCCAUGGUCGGCCUUAGUCGGAGAUUUUAUCAUGAUAUAAAAGAUUGUGUUUAUAACUUCUUCUAAUGUUAAUUGCCUAUGAAUCUUAUCAAUGAUAUCAUCAGGUAACUUACUAAGUCUGUCUGGGGUGAAAAACCUGUUGUAUUUUAACAUCUUUUUUAUUUUUUAAGGAAAACUUUGCCAUCUUUUUUUGUUCCACUUGUAAAUGAUUUGUCUUGGUUUCUAAUUGCAUAAGGAAUUCAAUGAGAUUGAACUUCUAUGGUGGUG
RNAcentral lists this long non-coding RNA (905 nucleotides) under Zostera marina. RNAcentral's name for it is "long non-coding RNA (ZMAR_LNC000125)". Lineage: Eukaryota; Viridiplantae; Streptophyta; Magnoliopsida; Alismatales; Zosteraceae. The record is from RNAcentral.